This 197-nucleotide ribosomal RNA is filed under the name uncultured bacterium. RNAcentral describes it as "partial 16S ribosomal RNA". It matches the Rfam family "Bacterial small subunit ribosomal RNA", at positions 1304 to 1500 of the family's 1533-position model. The record is from RNAcentral.
GCUGCAACUCGCCUGCAUGAAGUCGGAAUUGCUAGUAAUCGCAGAUCAGCAUGCUGCGGUGAAUACGUUCCCGGGCCUUGUACACACCGCCCGUCACACCAUGGGAGUCGGUAACACCCGAAGUCGGUAGCCUAACCGUAAGGAGGGCGCCGCCGAAGGCAGGUCGGAUGACUGGGGUGAAGUCGUAACAAGGUAAC